Long non-coding RNA from Canis lupus familiaris (dog), 1934 nucleotides. RefSeq lists it as uncharacterized. Lineage: Eukaryota; Metazoa; Chordata; Mammalia; Carnivora; Canidae. The record is from RefSeq and is a predicted model, not a curated record. The transcript has 6 exons.
CGCGCGCCGUCCCGCUCCCGGCGCCCGUCCGCGGCUACCUAUGUCAAUGGCGAAGCGCUUGGCGUUCUCCAGAUUGCGGAAGAUCUCGUCGGGGGGCAGCGUGAUGCUCUUGUCCAGGCUGUCCCCGCUGCUCCCGCUGCCGCUCGCUCCACGCUCCGCCAUUUUGAAUGUGCCCGGCCAGCCUAAUCAUCUAUGGAGAUAUAUGCGCAUAUAUUUGACUGCUAAACGCCUUCCGCGCAUAUAUUAUGCUAAUGAGGCGCCCGGGCCCGCCCCUCCCCGCCCGCCCCUGUGGUCCCGGCCGCGGGAGGGCCACUGGGCCUGCCUGCGCGGGGUCCCCGAGGCCGUUGGACCAACACAAGACGUCUGGACUGUUGUCUUUGUUGCUCUUUCAACGAGCUUGCCAGAUGCUGACGUCCAGCGCUCUGAGCGAGUGCAGAGGAGGCCCCUGAGGCUCGAGACCUCCCAACACCGGCCUCUUUCAGGCACUGGACCCAGCCGGUGUUGGCGUCUCUAAGGUGGCUUUGGCAACUGACUCCAGGGACCCUGGGUUUGGUACUUAGUGUCUCUGGACUUCAGCCCCCUUAUGAGAAUUUCAGCGGCUGCCUGGCAAGGCCUGGCCUGUGGAGUAGCAGGCUCCAGCAGUGCCCAGGGGAGGGGCUGUGGCUUCAGCACAUCAGGCAGAGGCUUGGGGAGAGGCAGCCUCGCAAAAGUCUUCUAAGAGCCCCGCCCACCUGGUGACUGUUGAGGACACACGUGAAGCACAAGAGACGGACCCCAGAUGGCUGCUUAGUCAGAUUUUAUUGGAAGUCGGCAGAGCAAUCCCAUGGGCUCCCAUGUGACUAAAAGUUCAAAUUCUGAGUACACAGUCAUGCCCACAUGCAGCCACCCACACAGAGGGAUCCUUUGAGGAUCAUGGUGGAGACCCCCACCCUCCCCACAAAGCCCACUAUGAGCCCCAGCUAGACAACCAAGGGCACGAAGGGCCUUUUGGCCACGGCUCUGCAUGGUCUUUCUGUGCCCAUCCAGGCUGACACUCUUUCCUAUGAGGAUACACCUUGAGUUCCGCCUUCACAAAAGGCAAAUGUGCCCACGGCACGGCCCACCCGCCAGGCCCCCUGGCCCAGCAGCAGCAGGCCCUGAAGAAAGUCCUCUACACGUGGAGGCACCGGCGGACCGAGCCCCUGAUGCCUACAAAUAUCAUAGAACCCCGGGCGGCGGGGACUUCCCAGAAGUCACUUGCUGAAAUGCAAACACAGAACAACCCCGUGGAGUCAGACACUUGGCAGAAGGUGGGCCCUGAUUGUCCUAUGUGACAAGGACUCUGUAAGCGCAUUCUCUUGAGAAUGACCCUCCUGCUGGCCCGCCAGCCUGGAGAGAGAGCCUUCCGGAGAAGGGGGCCUGUCCAAGCCCGAGAAGGGACAGACACAUGGCCAGAGAAACAGGCUGGCUGGCCCUCCAGUCCUUGGGGUGGCCACCCACAAGUCCUGCCGGGUCACCAGGGCCGCCAGAGGCCGCAGGCCUCUGGAAGCCGGUUUCAACAGCGGCUGGAGGGCAGAGGAAUGCCGCGAGGGACCCAGCACGUCCGGGACCCGGGCAGAGUCUCCCGUCUGCCUGAAUUGCAGUGAGGAACACUUUCACACGUAAACCACUGAGAAGACAUCCAAAGAAGAAAAAUAUUUUGCGACAUGUGAAAAUAAGAUGAGACUCAAAUGGAACGUUCAUGAAUAAAAUGUCAUGGGAGCAGGCCAGGCACACCCCUUCGCUGUUGAGGGGGCUACUUUCCUGGUACGAGGCAGAGGGAGUUGUAAGAAAUGUUACAGAAAGACCCUGCAUGUCCUUUGCCUGGUUUCCCCUGUGGCUGACGUCUUACAGAACUGUGGCAUGGGGUUUAUGGGGACGUGGUCAAGAUAGCACCUUAUCAACAUGAGGACCCC